GUCACUGCUUGAUCUUGAAAAAUGUUUCUCCGUUCUACAGGCGGACUCCUGACUUCUUCUAUCUUCGACACGCAACAACCUCCGUUCUACAGGCGGGUCCCUGACAAUCAAAACAAGCAAAACAAACAAAAUUUCCUAACCCAGUUUGCACUGGGGAGGUUUGUGAGUUGUCAGCAAAAUCGUAACUCACUUACACUACUGAUGCAAUGAUGAGAGUAAACUAAAGACUAGUCUAGGAUGUGCAUCUCCUAUGAGUAAAACCAAAACUCUUGCUAGAAAAUGUGUCUGCUAAAAUAAAAACCUCAAUGACUCAAACCAGAGAGUGUGUCUUCUAUGGUUGAAUCGGAAUGAGCUAAACUAGGAAGUGCGUCUCCUAAGGGCGAAAACUUCAGUGAUUAGAACUAGGAAGUGUGUCUCCUAUGAAUAAAAUCUCGAUUAGGAAGUGCGUCUCCUACGGGUAAACUUAAAAAAAAAACUGGACUAGGAAUUGUGUCUCCUAUGGUCGAACUAAAAAUGAAUCAAACUAGGAAGUGCAUCUCCUAGGGGUGAAAUCUCAAUUCCGGAAGUGCGUCUCCUGAAAUAAAAUAUAAUCUAAAAAGCCAAACUCGGGAGUGUGUCCCCUAAAGCAAAAGUAUAACCUGAGUGAACCAGACUAGGAAGUGUGACUCCUAAUAAUGAAAACUUAAUUCAGGAAGUGCGUUUCCUGUGCAUGGAAUUAAACUUAGGAAGUGCGUCUCCUAGGGGUAAAACUAAACUUUAGGAAGUGCGUCUCCUACUGGUGAAACUUUUUAGGAAGUGCGUCUCCUACUUGUGAAACUUUUUAAGAAGUGCGUCUCCUACUUGUGAAACUUAGGUUAGGAAGUGUGUCUCCUAUUGGUACAAUGGACUUAGGAAGUGCGUCUCCUAUUGGUGAAACUGAACUUAGGAAGUGCGUCUCCUAUUGGUGAACCUAUUCUUAGGAAGUGCGUCUCCUAAUGGUAAAACUAAACUUAGGAAGUGCGUCUCCUAUUGGUAGAACUAAACUUAGGAAGUGCGUCUCCUAUGGGUGAAAUGAACUUAGGAAGUGCGUCUCCUAUGGUGAAACUGAACUUUUAGGAAGUGCGUCUCCUAUGGUGAAACUGACUUAGGAAGUGCGUCUCCUAUUGAUGAAACUUGCUUAGGAAGUGCGUCUCCUAUUGGUGAAACUUGCUUUAGGAAGUGCGUCUCCUAUGGUGAAACUGACUUAGGAAGUGCGUCUCCUAUUGAUGAAACUUGCUUAGGAAGUGCAUCUCCUAUUGGUGAAACUUGCUUUAGGAAGUGCGUCUCCUAUGGUGAAACUGAACUUUAGGAAGUGCGUCUCCUAUGGUGAAACUGAA
This 1355-nucleotide long non-coding RNA is filed under the name Nicotiana tabacum (common tobacco). Its description in RNAcentral is "long non-coding RNA (NTAB_LNC009527)". The record is from RNAcentral. Lineage: Eukaryota; Viridiplantae; Streptophyta; Magnoliopsida; Solanales; Solanaceae.